This 1035-nucleotide long non-coding RNA is filed under the name Gallus gallus (chicken). RNAcentral describes it as "lncRNA (ENSGALG00010015139.1)". Lineage: Eukaryota; Metazoa; Chordata; Aves; Galliformes; Phasianidae. The record is from RNAcentral.
GAGGAUCUCUUGCUGGAGAUCCCUCCUUGAUGAAGCUUUUCCCCUGUGAACCUGGAAUCUUCUGAUACGGGGGAGAUCUGGUGUAUUUUGGGGUGCGAGGAAUGGUUUUCCCUUCUUGAAGGAGUAAAAGUGGCAGUGGUUAUCGAACUUAUUAUGCUGAAGCUCUACUUCUGAAAGGGGCUGCAUGGCAGUGCAGCGGGCUGUGAAAGUGCAGGUUGAGGAGAAGGUGUUCCAGAACGCUCUGGGCUCAGAUCCUGGGGUCUGCAAUGAGUAGCUGCAGCGCCAUGGCCUUGGAUGGGCCGUAGGCACAAACACUGCAUCCAUGCGGUGGUAGAUGAUGACAGUGGCUCAACGUGUGCUGGUGUCUUGUGGUUGCACAGCUCCCAGACUGUGGGUUUUUUUCUGCGAAGCAGUGUUUUUGCACACAAGGAAGGGGCCAUUUAAGAGUAGGGGAGAGAAUCCUUCUCUCCGUCUCGCCUUCUCACCUUUCCUAUUUCUCUUGUUCAUUAAUUCCUUGUAUUGUACUUCUCUGUACACAGUGAAACAGAACUGACUUUUCCUUUUGUUUCUAGCUGGCUUAUCUCUGCUUCUCAUGAAUUAGCACAAUACUGCAAUAUCUGUACUAUCAGUUCUGUUCUGCUUUCAAAAAAAAAAGAGCAGUAACAGACUUAAAAAAAAAAAUUACAGAAAACUGUCUGAGAGAGCACAUUUUUACUGGAGUGCUCUUCAUCACAGGUAUAGGUUAAGUGGAAAACAGAGAUGAAAAAGUGUUUUAAGUAUUUCUCAAAUCAAAAAUUUAGUUUCUCUAUUUUUAAUUGGUACUUCAGCAAAACUUUGCCAACAGCCUUAGCACCAGAUUUCCAAUUCCUUUUUCCAGUAACACCUUUACCAUGGAGCCUCAUUUAGCUCCAACUGUCGUUAUGGAGCAAUAUGAAUUUCAGACUUCCAGUGUUUGCUUUUAAAACCCAUUGCUGCUAACACAGAUGGCACCCACGUGACAUAAUAAUUUUAUAUACAGUUUAAUAAACAGAGGAC